GACGAACGCGGCGGCGUGCUUAAUACAUGCAAGUAGAACGCUGAAGGAGGAGCUUGCUCUUCUGGAUGAGUUGCGAACGGGUGAGUAACGCGUAGGUAACCUGCCUGGUAGCGGGGGAUAACUAUUGGAAACGAUAGCUAAUACCGCAUAAGAGUAGAUGUUGCAUGACAUUUGCUUAAAAGGUGCAAUUGCAUCACUACCAGAUGGACCUGCGUUGUAUUAGCUAGUUGGUGAGGUAACGGCUCACCAAGGCAACGAUACAUAGCCGACCUGAGAGGGUGAUCGGCCACACUGGGACUGAGACACGGCCCAGACUCCUACGGGAGGCAGCAGUAGGGAAUCUUCGGCAAUGGACGGAAGUCUGACCGAGCAACGCCGCGUGAGUGAAGAAGGUUUUCGGAUCGUAAAGCUCUGUUGUAAGAGAAGAACGAGUGUGAGAGUGGAAAGUUCACACUGUGACG
RNAcentral lists this ribosomal RNA (461 nucleotides) under Streptococcus mitis. Its description in RNAcentral is "bacterial SSU rRNA". It matches the Rfam family "Bacterial small subunit ribosomal RNA", at positions 28 to 474 of the family's 1533-position model. The record is from RNAcentral. Lineage: Bacteria; Bacillati; Bacillota; Bacilli; Lactobacillales; Streptococcaceae.